Small nuclear RNA from Vulpes vulpes (red fox), 108 nucleotides. NCBI's taxonomy places the organism in Eukaryota, Metazoa, Chordata, Mammalia, Carnivora, Canidae. The record is from Ensembl.
GCACUCCCUUCGGCAGCGCAUAUACUAAAACUGGAAUGAUACACAGAAGAUUUAGCGUGGCCCCUGCAUGAGGAUGAUGUGCAGGCUUCUGAGAUUUGCUCAGAGGCA